This 254-nucleotide ribosomal RNA is filed under the name uncultured bacterium. RNAcentral's name for it is "partial 16S ribosomal RNA". It matches the Rfam family "Bacterial small subunit ribosomal RNA", at positions 524 to 776 of the family's 1533-position model. The record is from RNAcentral.
UACGGGGGGAGCAAGCGUUGUUCGGAUUUACUGGGCGUAAAGAGCUCGUAGGCGGUCUGUCGCGUCUGCCGUGAAAACCCGAGGCUUAACCUCGUGGCUUGCGGUGGAUACGGGCAGACUAGAGGUAGGUAGGGGAGAAUGGAAUUCCCGGUGUAGCGGUGAAAUGCGCAGAUAUCGGGAGGAACACCGGUGGCGAAGGCGGUUCUCUGGGCCUUACCUGACGCUGAGGAGCGAAAGCGUGGGGAGCGAACAGG